AUCUAUGGUGCAGUGAUGGAAGAAUUCUCCUAUAUGCUUUAUAGGCCUCAUGGCUCUCUGAGAAGGCACCUGCUGCCCGCGCCCUGCAAGCAGGUUUGCAAGGACAAAGUGCCCAAUGUUGCCUCUGGAGCAGGUUUGGCUGGAGCAAAGGGCUGUUCCGAGAGGGAGGCGAGUGCCUGGAGCUCCCCUUUGGUGCUGGCACCUGACCUUGGACUAGAAACUUGAAGAAUGCUUUAAUACUGCUUGCUUGCAGAGACUUGGUUAAUAUGCAUUAUUUACACCAGGAGCUUACAUAAAUAAAAUAGUAAAUACCCUCAAAAAUACAGAUUCUGUUAACCCAGCAUCACAACCGCAGCCCUGCGCGCUCCGGCUUGCAAGG
Long non-coding RNA from Nothoprocta perdicaria, 379 nucleotides. RefSeq lists it as uncharacterized. The transcript has 2 exons. NCBI's taxonomy places the organism in Eukaryota, Metazoa, Chordata, Aves, Tinamiformes, Tinamidae. The record is from RefSeq and is a predicted model, not a curated record.